Molecule: ribosomal RNA, 410 nt
Filed under: uncultured Bacteroidota bacterium
Lineage: Bacteria; Pseudomonadati; Bacteroidota
Description: bacterial SSU rRNA
Rfam family: Bacterial small subunit ribosomal RNA
Source: RNAcentral
GGGGUAACAGGGAUUGCUUGCAAUCCGCUGACGACCGGCGCACGGGUGCGUAACGCGUAUGCAACCUACCUUUUACAAGGGGAUAGCCCAGAGAAAUUUGGAAUAAUACCCUAUACGAUCAUCAAUUGGCAUCAAUUAAUGAAGAAAACUCCGGUGGUAAAAGAUGGGCAUGCGUCCUAUUAGUUAGUUGGUAAGGUAACGGCUUACCAAGACUUCGAUAGGUAGGGGUCCUGAGAGGGAGAUCCCCCACACUGGUACUGAGACACGGACCAGACUCCUACGGGAGGCAGCAGUGAGGAAUAUUGGACAAUGGAGGCAACUCUGAUCCAGCCAUGCCGCGUGCAGGAAGACGGCCCUACGGGUUGUAAACUGCUUUUAUACAGGAAGAACUAUAUCUACGUGUAGAUAUU